RNAcentral lists this ribosomal RNA (1343 nucleotides) under uncultured bacterium. RNAcentral's name for it is "16S ribosomal RNA". It matches the Rfam family "Bacterial small subunit ribosomal RNA", at positions 28 to 1378 of the family's 1533-position model. The record is from RNAcentral.
GACGAACGCUGGCGGCGUGCUUAACACAUGCAUGUCGAACGGAAAGGCCCUGCUUUUGUGGGGUGCUCGAGUGGCGAACGGGUGUGUAACACGUGAGUAACCUGCCCUUGACUUUGGGAUAACUUCAGGAAACUGGGGCUAAUACCGGAUAGGAGCUCCUGCUGCAUGGUGGGGGUUGGAAAGUUUCGGCGGUUGGGGAUGGACUCGCGGCUUAUCAGCUUGUUGGUGGGGUAGUGGCUUACCAAGGCUUUGACGGGUAGCCGGCCUGAGAGGGUGACCGGCCACAUUGGGACUGAGAUACGGCCCAGACUCCUACGGGAGGCAGCAGUGGGGAAUAUUGCACAAUGGGCGGAAGCCUGAUGCAGCAACGCCGCGUGCGGGAUGACGGCCUUCGGGUUGUAAACCGCUUUCGCCUGUGACGAAGCGUGAGUGACGGUAAUGGGUAAAGAAGCACCGGCUAACUACGUGCCAGCAGCCGCGGUGAUACGUAGGGUGCGAGCGUUGUCCGGAUUUAUUGGGCGUAAAGGGCUCGUAGGUGGUUGAUCGCGUCGGAAGUGUAAUCUUGGGGCUUAACCCUGAGCGUGCUUUCGAUACGGGUUGACUUGAGGAAGGUAGGGGAGAAUGGAAUUCCUGGUGGAGCGGUGGAAUGCGCAGAUAUCAGGAGGAACACCAGUGGCGAAGGCGGUUCUCUGGGCCUUUCCUGACGCUGAGGAGCGAAAGCGUGGGGAGCGAACAGGCUUAGAUACCCUGGUAGUCCACGCUGUAAACGGUGGGUACUAGGUGUGGGGUCCAUUCCACGGGUUCCGUGCCGUAGCUAACGCUUUAAGUACCCCGCCUGGGGAGUACGGCCGCAAGGCUAAAACUCAAAGGAAUUGACGGGGCCCCGCACAAGCGGCGGAGCAUGCGGAUUAAUUCGAUGCAACGCGUAGAACCUUACCUGGGUUUGACAUGGAUCGGGAGUGCUCAGAGAUGGGUGUGCCUCUUUUGGGGUCGGUUCACAGGUGGUGCAUGCCUGUCGUCAGCUCGUGUCGUGAGAUGUUGGGUUAAGUCCCGCAACGAGCGCAACCCUUGUUCACUGUUGCCAGCACGUUAUGGUGGGGACUCAGUGGAGACCGCCGGGGUCAACUCGGAGGAAGGUGGGGAUGACGUCAAGUCCUCAUGCCCCUUAUGUCCAGGGCUUCACGCAUGCUACAAUGGCUGGUACAGAGAGUGGCGAGCCUGUGAGGGUGAGCGAAUCUCGGAAAGCCGGUCUCAGUUCGGAUUGGGGUCUGCAACUCGACCUCAUGAAGUCGGAGUCGCUAGUAAUCGCAGAUCAGCAACGCUGCGGUGAAUACGUUCCCGGG